Molecule: ribosomal RNA, 305 nt
Filed under: uncultured bacterium
Lineage: Bacteria
Description: bacterial SSU rRNA
Rfam family: Bacterial small subunit ribosomal RNA
Source: RNAcentral
AUGUUCCUCGGGAGGCAGCAGUAGGGAAUCUUCCACAAUGGGCGAAAGCCUGAUGGAGCAACGCCGCGUGGGUGAAGAAGGUCUUCGGAUCGUAAAACCCUGUUGUUAGAGUAGAAAGUGCGUGAGAGUAACUGUUCACGUUUCGACGGUAUCUAACCAGAAAGCCACGGCUAACUACGUGCCAGCAGCCGCGGUAAUACGUAGGUGGCAAGCGUUAUCCGGAUUUAUUGGGCGUAAAGGGAACGCAGGCGGUCUUUUAAGUCUGAUGUGAAAGCCUUCGGCUUACCCGGAGUAGUGCCUUGGAA